RNAcentral lists this transfer RNA (89 nucleotides) under Verrucomicrobiota bacterium. Its description in RNAcentral is "Verrucomicrobia bacterium (freshwater metagenome) tRNA-Ser". It matches the Rfam family "tRNA". Rfam says of the family: Transfer RNA (tRNA) molecules are approximately 80 nucleotides in length. Their secondary structure includes four short double-helical elements and three loops (D, anti-codon, and T loops). Lineage: Bacteria; Pseudomonadati; Verrucomicrobiota. The record is from RNAcentral.
GGUGCGGUGGCUGAGUGGUCUAAAGCGACGGUUUGCUAAACCGUUGUACGGGUAACACCGUACCGGGGGUUCGAAUCCCCCCCGCACCG